Molecule: long non-coding RNA, 1747 nt
Organism: Crotalus tigris (Tiger rattlesnake)
Lineage: Eukaryota; Metazoa; Chordata; Lepidosauria; Squamata; Viperidae
Exons: 2
Source: RefSeq, a predicted model, not a curated record
GGAGGCGAAGGUAGCCCUGCCGCUCCCCGCUGAACUUUUGAAUUUCCAAGGGCACCUAACUCUUCGGGCUGCCCGGUGCCGCUCUUUGACCAGGCGGGGCUUCCCUGGGUGGCAGCGUCGAGAUUAAAGUCCAGGCAAGUCUCUCCGUGCCAAGAGAGGCGGGCCUGAAUGGUGCUGGGCCUGCCUCUCUCCCAGCUCCCUCCCUUUCCCCUCCUGAUUUUCUGAUAUUUUCCUUACUCUUUCAUUUUAUCCAUCUGUUUGCUCAGGUAUCCAACCAAAAGGGAAAAAAGCAUCAGUUUCUGCUAAGCAAACGUAUGGCCUUAAUCCAACUCUUUGUCCAUGAUUACAUCUCCAUAGGAAGCACCACUUGUGUCAAGCCAUGUGUGAAUAUUAUACUCACCAGUUACUUUGGGGAUUCCCUGCAAGCGAGGAACUGGGAGUGCUACUAUAAUCCCAACAUUCGUUCCAACCAGUAGUAGACCAUGGCAUACUAAGAGGCUAGUCACUGAAACACGCUGCUGUCCUGCAAGAUGCAGAGAAUAUUACAUUACUCCCAAACCAGGUUUUUUUUUGCUGUUUACGGUUGCACUGUACAGGCAUUAUUUAAUGAAAUCAUGUUCUCUUACAUAUUUAAAAAUGUUAUUGUGAUUUUAUCAGUUUUCUAAGCAUAUAAUAAAUCAUAUAAGACAAGGGUCAUGUAGCCAAGCAAUAACCUAUUCAUUUAUUUCAGUUUCUAUCUGCAGUUCUCCUGUGUUUUUGAAACACCCAUGAAUUCACUGCUGUCAGACACUGUUGCCACUGCCAGCUAUUCCUUUGCAGUUAUUUUCAAUUUAUCUUGCAAUCCUUUUCCCUUUACAAAUUGUGCAGGCCUGCUGUUGAGGGUCAACCCCCCACUCUUCUACUUGGACUUUUUUAAAAAAAUACUUAGUAUCAACACAAAAUAGUGAAGAGUACAUUGGCACAGUGUAAUGAAUCGAGUAUGCUAAUGUUCAGUAUAUAUUAGCUAACAUAUGAAUCAUAGCAUGAUUCCACCACAUUUUUAAAAUUAUCCCAAGUUGACAUGUAGGUAAGUGCCUUCAAUUUAACUUACUGGUGAAAUUAUUAAUUUAGGGAACUAUACACAAAUAUCUAGCAGAUUAUAUAAUCCAUUUAUAAAUGGUUAACUAGCAAUCCUGUAUUCAUUUACAUGGUGGUACUGCAUUCCACCAGAAUCAUUUCUGAACUGAUACAUAAGAUGAGAUUUAUAUCUAAAGGUUAUGUCUAGAGGUAAUCCAGAAAUUUAGCAGAUUAAUGGAGCAAAAGAUAUCCAUUAAAACAGAAUGGCCAUUAAAUCCAAAUGGCUUUUUGUGCAUGGAUAUUUUAUAUAUUUACCCAUAUUCAAAAUGGCAUUUUAUUCAUGUACAAAAAUAAUACAGGGUACAACCAAAUUUUGUCCAGUGCAUCCAAAAUGUCUACUUUAACUUAUACCUGAAUUUCAGAAUCCUGAUAAUCUAAUAUUAUUUUAAACAUAUGUUAACUCUGUUAACUGAAAGACCACUGAGUUAUCUUUUAGAAAAUUCACAAAAAGGCAGUUUUAAGACAAUGGCUAUCCCAGUUCCAAGGAGGAAUGAAUAAAAAUCUCACAUUGUACAACAAAACUGUAUGGAUAAAAAGACUUGUGCUUUUAAACAAAUCAAAUUAUUUUUAAACUUUCUUCAAAGAUUCUUAAAAAGCAUUGGAGCCACAUAAAAUAAACUAUUUUUUUUUU